CCGAAUGGGGAAACCCAGUGCAAUUCGUUGCACUAUCGUUAACUGAAUACAUAGGUUAACGAGGCGAACCGGGGGAACUGAAACAUCUAAGUACCCCGAGGAAAAGAAAUCAACCGAGAUUCCCCCAGUAGCGGCGAGCGAACGGGGAGCAGCCCAGAGUCUGAAUCAGCUUGUGUGUUAGUGGAACGGUCUGGAAAGUCCGACGGUACAGGGUGAUCUGUCUCUUAUACA
This 231-nucleotide ribosomal RNA is filed under the name Acinetobacter baumannii. RNAcentral describes it as "partial 23S ribosomal RNA". It matches the Rfam family "Bacterial large subunit ribosomal RNA", at positions 114 to 381 of the family's 2925-position model. The record is from RNAcentral. Lineage: Bacteria; Pseudomonadati; Pseudomonadota; Gammaproteobacteria; Moraxellales; Moraxellaceae.